AGUGACUCAGCUGACUUGGGUGAACAUCCUCUGGAGCUGUGCUAGCUGGAAACCAGCCUGGACAUGCCCUCCCGCUCCUACCACCAGGGAACUUCUUUUGGUGUGACAUUGUAAUGGGAGGUGGAGACACCUCGAGGAGAAGGUGGAAACAGACAACAGCAAUUACAGUCAGUAACAUCUAUGACUUGAGAAAGUCCUGCCUCUAUUACAGGUUUGGCUGCCUGUGUUCAAGGUCUGCCCUGAUAUGGUGGAGUGUAACCUGGCAUCAGAGUGCUGUGAAGAGAGCCAAAGAGCUGAAAGAAGCCUGCUGAGGCCUCCCCGCUUCCCAUGGGAGCAACGGCACAGAGCUGCCCUUGUCCUCAGCCCUCGUCUGGGGUAGGCUGUAGGGGUGUUUGUGUCUGGCUGUGCACUUGUUGAUCCCGACCCCGACUUGCUGACUUGACUUUCUGCUUCGGCCUCAGACCUGGCUCAUCCCUAUGGGCUUGUCCGACAGUCACUGGGCUUCUGGCAAAUGUGGUUACUGUCACCGGGCCUGCUCUGCUCUUCUUGCUUGGUCACUGUGGCACUGUGCCCCUUUACACUGAGGUCCUGUCCC
Calidris pugnax (ruff) is the source of this 595-nucleotide long non-coding RNA. RefSeq lists it as uncharacterized. The transcript has 3 exons. The record is from RefSeq and is a predicted model, not a curated record. NCBI's taxonomy places the organism in Eukaryota, Metazoa, Chordata, Aves, Charadriiformes, Scolopacidae.